CCUACGGGUGGCAGCAGUGAGGAAUAUUGGUCAAUGGACGAGAGUCUGAACCAGCCAAGUAGCGUGAAGGAUGACUGCCCUAUGGGUUGUAAACUUCUUUUAUAUGGGAAUAAAACGUUCCACGUGUGGGAUUUUGUAUGUACCAUAUGAAUAAGGAUCGGCUAACUCCGGGCCAGCAGCCGCGGGAAUACGGAGGAUCCGAGCGUUAUCCGGAUUUAUUGGGUUUAAAGGGAGCGUAGGUGGAUUGUUAAGUCAGUUGUGAAAGUUUGCGGUUCAACCGUAAAAUUGCAGUUGAAACUGGCAGUCUUGAGUACAGUAGAGGUGGGCGGAAUUCGUGGUGUAGCGGUGAAAUGCUUAGAUAUCACGAAGAACUCCGAUUGCGAAGGCAGUUCACUGGACUGCAACUGACACUGAGGCUCGAAAGUGUGGGUAUCAAACAGGAUUAGAUACCCGAGUAGUC
RNAcentral lists this ribosomal RNA (460 nucleotides) under uncultured bacterium. RNAcentral's name for it is "partial 16S ribosomal RNA". It matches the Rfam family "Bacterial small subunit ribosomal RNA", at positions 338 to 795 of the family's 1533-position model. The record is from RNAcentral.